GGCUCAGGACGAACGCUGGCGGCGUGCCUAAUACAUGCAAGUGGAACGCAUUUUGAUCACCGUAGCUUGCUACACCGAUUAAAAUGAGUCGCGAACGGGUGAGUAACGCGUAGGUAACCUACCUUCUAGCGGGGGACAACUAUUGGAAACGAUAGCUAAUACCGCAUAAGACAUUUUAUCGCAUGAUAGGAUGUUAAAAGAUACAAUUGUAUCACUAGGAGAUGGACCUGCGUUGUAUUAGCUAGUUGGUGAGGUAACGGCUCACCAAGGCAGCGAUACAUAGCCGACCUGAGAGGGUGAUCGGCCACACUGGGACUGAGACACGGCCCAGACUCCUACGGGAGGCAGCAGUAGGGAAUCUUCGGCAAUGGGGGCAACCCUGACCGAGCAACGCCGCGUGAGUGAAGAAGGUUUUCGGAUCGUAAAGCUCUGUUGUAAGCGAAGAACAGUGUUAGGAGUGGAAAGUCUAACACAUGACGGUAGCUUACCAGAAAGGGACGGCUAACUACGUGCCAGCAGCCGCGGUAAUACGUAGGUCUCGAGCGUUGUCCGGAUUUAUUGGGCGUAAAGCGAGCGCAGGCGGUUAGAUAAGUCAGAAGUUAAAGGCUGUGGCUCAACCAUAGUACGCUUUUGAAACUGUUUAACUUGAGUGCAGAAGGGGAGAGUGGAAUUCCAUGUGUAGCGGUGAAAUGCGUAGAUAUAUGGAGGAACACCGGUGGCGAAAGCGGCUCUCUGGUCUGUCACUGACGCUGAGGCUCGAAAGCGUGGGUAGCGAACAGGAUUAGAUACCCUGGUAGUCCACGCCGUAAACGAUGAGUGCUAGGUGUUAGACCCUUUCCGGGGUUUAGUGCCGCAGCUAACGCAUUAAGCACUCCGCCUGGGGAGUACGACCGCAAGGUUGAAACUCAAAGGAAUUGACGGGGGCCCGCACAAGCGGUGGAGCAUGUGGUUUAAUUCGAAGCAACGCGAAGAACCUUACCAGGUCUUGACAUCCCUCUGACCGGCCUAGAGAUAGGCUUUCCCUUCGGGGCAGAGGAGACAGGUGGUGCAUGGUUGUCGUCAGCUCGUGUCGUGAGAUGUUGGGUUAAGUCCCGCAACGAGCGCAACCCUUAUUGUUAGUUGCCAUCAUUUAGUUGGGCACUCUAGCGAGACUGCCGGUAAUAAACCGGAGGAAGGUGGGGAUGACGUCAAAUCAUCAUGCCCCUUAUGACCUGGGCUACACACGUGCUACAAUGGUUGGUACAACGAGUCGCAAGCCGGUGACGGCAAGCUAAUCUCUUAAAGCCAAUCUCAGUUCGGAUUGUAGGCUGCAACUCGCCUACAUGAAGUCGGAAUCGCUAGUAAUCGCGGAUCAGCACGCCGCGGUGAAUACGUUCCCGGGCCUUGUACACACCGCCCGUCACACCACGAGAGUUUGUAACACCCGAAGUCGGUGAGGUAACCUAUUAGGAGCCAGCCGCCGAAGGUGGGAUAGAUGAUUGGGGUGAAGUCGUAACAAGGUAGCCGUAUCGGAAGGUGCGGCUGGAUCACCUCCUUU
This 1537-nucleotide ribosomal RNA is filed under the name Streptococcus pacificus. RNAcentral describes it as "16S ribosomal RNA". It matches the Rfam family "Bacterial small subunit ribosomal RNA". Lineage: Bacteria; Bacillati; Bacillota; Bacilli; Lactobacillales; Streptococcaceae. The record is from RNAcentral.